Molecule: ribosomal RNA, 450 nt
Filed under: uncultured bacterium
Lineage: Bacteria
Description: partial 16S ribosomal RNA
Rfam family: Bacterial small subunit ribosomal RNA
Source: RNAcentral
AAUGAACGCUGGCGGCAGGCCUAACACAUGCAAGUCGAACGGAUCCUUCGGGAUUAGUGGCGGACGGGUGAGUAACGCGUGGGAACAUACCCUUUGGUACGGAAUCGCCUCGGGAAACUGGGAGUAAUACCGUAUGUGGUCGAGAGACGAAAGAUUUAUUGACCAAAGGAUUGGCCCGCGUUUGAUUAGGAAGUUGGUGGGGUAAUGGCCGACCAAGCCGACGAUCCAUAGCUGGUUUGAGAGGAUGAUCAGCCACACUGGGACUGAGACACGGCCCAGACUCCUACGGGAGGCAGCAGUGGGGAAUCUUAGACAAUGGGGGAAACCCUGAUCUAGCCAUGCCGCGUGAUCGAUGAAGGCCUUAGGGUUGUAAAGAUCUUUCAGGUGGGAAGAUAAUGACUGUACCACCAGAAGAAGCCCCGGCUAACUCCGUGCCAGCCGCCGCCGUAA